Molecule: non-coding RNA, 222 nt
Organism: Vicia faba (fava bean)
Lineage: Eukaryota; Viridiplantae; Streptophyta; Magnoliopsida; Fabales; Fabaceae
Source: the annotation of a GenBank genome assembly
AUGGCGUCAGUUUCCGGUUCGAUUGGUUCGGAUGUGAAGAAUGAAAUGAGGAGUCAUGAAGUCGCCAUAGCCGAGCUUAACGCCUUACCUUCUUCCAGAACUGUCUAUCAGAAAAACGGGAACUUGUUUUUUCGCACAACCGUCCAAGCAGCAACGAGCAUGGAGCAGAAGCAACUUUAUUCAGCCACAGCCAUGCUAAAGAAUCUGAAUUCUUCUGUAUAG